This 277-nucleotide ribosomal RNA is filed under the name uncultured bacterium. RNAcentral describes it as "partial 16S ribosomal RNA". It matches the Rfam family "Bacterial small subunit ribosomal RNA", at positions 335 to 603 of the family's 1533-position model. The record is from RNAcentral.
ACUCCUACGGGAGGCAGCAGUAGGGAAUUUUCCGCAAUGGACGAAAGUCUGACGGAGCAAUGCCGCGUGAGUGAUGAAGGUUUUCGAAUCGUAAAGCUCUGUUGUUAAGGGAAGAAUAGCAAGAAUAGGAAAUGAUUCUUGUCUGACGGUACCUUACCAGAAAGCCACGGCUAACUACGUGCCAGCAGCCGCGGUAAUACGUAGGUGGCAAGCGUUAUCCGGAAUUAUUGGGCGUAAAGCGCAUGUAGGCGGCUCUUUAAGUCUGAUGUGAAAGCCU